Molecule: ribosomal RNA, 468 nt
Filed under: uncultured bacterium
Lineage: Bacteria
Description: partial 16S ribosomal RNA
Rfam family: Bacterial small subunit ribosomal RNA
Source: RNAcentral
GACGAACGCUGGCGGCGUGCUUAACACAUGCAAGUCGAACGGAAAGGCCCUGCUUUUGUGGGGUGCUCGAGUGGCGAACGGGUGAGUAACACGUGAGUAACCUGCCCUUGACUUUGGGAUAACUUCAGGAAACUGGGGCUAAUACCGGAUAGUAGCUCCUGCUGCAUGGUGGGGGUUGGAAAGUUUCGGCGGUUGGGGAUGGACUCGCGGCUUAUCAGCUUGUUGGUGGGGUAGUGGCUUACCAAGGCUUUGACGGGUAGCCGGCCUGAGAGGGUGACCGGCCACAUUGGGACUGAGAUACGGCCCAGACUCCUACGGGAGGAAGCAGUGGGGAAUAUUGCACAAUGGGCGGAAGCCUGAUGCAGCAACGCCGCGUGCGGGAUGACGGCCUUCGGGUUGUAAACCGCUUUCGCCUGUGACGAAGCGUGAGUGACGGUAAUGGGUAAAGAAGCACCGGCUAACUACGUG